AGAUGUGAAGGCGAUCUAGCUGUGUCUUCUGUCACCUCCGUGGAUGGCCAGAGUUGAUUUAGCUUAUCUGGCUGGCUAGGCAGGUGACCUCUUCCUCCCUCACUUCUCCAUGUGUGUCCCUUCCAAAGUUGCACGCACUGUCAAAGAGGAUGACCUUCCCCCAUAAAGGAGGAUCAUUCUUUGGUCAAGAGUAUAUGAGUAGCUGUGCUCCUCUGCUAUAAUCUCCAAAUAAGAUCUGAAGAAAUUUAUAAUCUAGUUGGGAAGAUAAAAGACAAAUAUGUACAAAAAUAAGAAGCUGAGGCAAAAAGAUUUGAAAUUC
Urocitellus parryii (Arctic ground squirrel) is the source of this 319-nucleotide unclassified non-coding RNA. Its record names the gene 7SK. It matches the Rfam family "7SK RNA". From Rfam's summary of the family: 7SK was discovered as an abundant small nuclear RNA in the mid-70s but a possible function has only recently been suggested. Two independent studies have found that 7SK RNA binds the CDK9/cyclin T complex (known as elongation factor P-TEFb). NCBI's taxonomy places the organism in Eukaryota, Metazoa, Chordata, Mammalia, Rodentia, Sciuridae. The record is from Ensembl.